GUGCUAGCUCUGGCAGCACAGAUGAAAAAUUGGAUUACGAUACAGAGAAGAUUAGCAUGGCCCCU
This 65-nucleotide small nuclear RNA is filed under the name Hippocampus comes (tiger tail seahorse). The record is from RNAcentral. Lineage: Eukaryota; Metazoa; Chordata; Actinopteri; Syngnathiformes; Syngnathidae.